UACGUAGGGUGCAAGCGUUGUCCGGAAUUAUUGGGCGUAAAGAGCUCGUAGGCGGUCUGUCGCGUCGGCUGUGAAAACCCGAGGCUCAACCUCGGGCCUGCAGUCGAUACAGGCAAACUGGAGUGUGGUAGGGGAGACUGGAAUUCCUGGUGUAGCGGUGAAAUGCGCAGAUAUCAGGAGGAACACCGAUGGCGAAGGCAGGUCUCUGGGCCAUAACUGACGCUGAGAAGCGAAAGCAUGGGGAGCGAACAGG
RNAcentral lists this ribosomal RNA (253 nucleotides) under uncultured bacterium. RNAcentral describes it as "partial 16S ribosomal RNA". It matches the Rfam family "Bacterial small subunit ribosomal RNA", at positions 524 to 776 of the family's 1533-position model. The record is from RNAcentral.